RNAcentral lists this non-coding RNA (24 nucleotides) under Arabidopsis thaliana (thale cress). Lineage: Eukaryota; Viridiplantae; Streptophyta; Magnoliopsida; Brassicales; Brassicaceae. The record is from RNAcentral.
CCUUGCGGUGUUCAAAACAGAAGC